Molecule: ribosomal RNA, 253 nt
Filed under: uncultured Bacillota bacterium
Lineage: Bacteria; Bacillati; Bacillota
Description: uncultured Firmicutes bacterium partial 16S ribosomal RNA
Rfam family: Bacterial small subunit ribosomal RNA
Source: RNAcentral
UACGUAGGGGGCGAGCGUUGUCCGGAAUGAUUGGGCGUAAAGGGCGCGUAGGCGGCCAUUUAAGUCUGGAGUGAAAGUCCUGUUUUUAAGAUGGGAACUGCUUUGGAUACUGGAUGGCUUGAGUGCAGGAGAGGUUAUCGGAAUUCCCGGUGUAGCGGUGAAAUGCGUAGAGAUCGGGAGGAACACCAGUGGCGAAGGCGGGUAACUGGACUGCAACUGACGCUGAGGCGCGAAAGUGUGGGGAGCAAACAGG